UGGUGGCGACCGGCGCACGGUGAGUAACACGUGUGCAACCAACCCCGUACCGGGAGAUAACCCGCGGAAACGUGGACUAACAUCCCAUGAGACUCUAGAUCCGCAUGGCUCUAGAUUUAAAAUUCCGGUGGUACGGGACGGGCACGCGCGACAUUAGGUAGUUGGCGGGGUAAGGGCCCACCAAGCCGACGAUGUCUAGGGGUUCUGAGAGGAAGGUCCCCCACACUGGAACUGAGACACGGUCCAG
RNAcentral lists this ribosomal RNA (247 nucleotides) under uncultured bacterium. Its description in RNAcentral is "partial 16S ribosomal RNA". It matches the Rfam family "Bacterial small subunit ribosomal RNA", at positions 86 to 334 of the family's 1533-position model. The record is from RNAcentral.